Molecule: ribosomal RNA, 497 nt
Filed under: uncultured bacterium
Lineage: Bacteria
Description: partial 16S ribosomal RNA
Rfam family: Bacterial small subunit ribosomal RNA
Source: RNAcentral
GAUGAACGCUGGCGGCGUGCCUAAUACAUGCAAGUCGAGCGAACAGACGAGGAGCUUGCUCCUCUGACGUUAGCGGCGGACGGGUGAGUAACACGUGGAUAACCUACCUAUAAGACUGGGAUAACUUCGGGAAACCGGAGCUAAUACCGGAGAAUAUAUUGAACCGCAUGGUUCAAUAGUGAAAGACGGUUUUGCUGUCACUUAUAGAUGGAUCCGCGCCGCAUUAGCUAGUUGGUAAGGUAACGGCUUACCAAGGCAACGAUGCGUAGCCGACCUGAGAGGGUGAUCGGCCACACUGGAACUGAGACACGGUCCAGACUCCUACGGGAGGCAGCAGUAGGGAAUCUUCCGCAAUGGGCGAAAGCCUGACGCAGCAACGCCGCGUGAGUGAUGAAGGUCUUCGGAUCGUAAAACUCUGUUAUUAGGGAAGAACAAAUGUGUAAGUAACUAUGCACGUCUUGACGGUACCUAAUCAGAAAGCCACGGCUAACUACGUG